UCAGCUCUCUUUGCCUUUUGGCUUAGAUCAAGUAGAGUGAACUGUUCUUUUUAGUUUAAUCGCUAGAAGGUCCCUCCAGGGGCUACUCGAUUAACUUGAUUUUUGGAACCAGGACCAAGGCCGCUGAGCUCGCUCAUGUCUCGGACCACGGUGUCGCCAGUAUUGCACUGUCUCUGGCUGACGCAAAUUCUU
This 192-nucleotide small nuclear RNA is filed under the name Neofusicoccum parvum UCRNP2. RNAcentral describes it as "U2 spliceosomal RNA". It matches the Rfam family "U2 spliceosomal RNA". From Rfam's summary of the family: U2 is a small nuclear RNA (snRNA) component of the spliceosome (involved in pre-mRNA splicing). Complementary binding between U2 snRNA (in an area lying towards the 5' end but 3' to hairpin I) and the branchpoint sequence (BPS) of the intron results the bulging out of an unpaired adenosine, on the BPS, which initiates a nucleophilic attack at the intronic 5' splice site, thus starting the first of two transesterification reactions that mediate splicing. The record is from Rfam by way of RNAcentral. Lineage: Eukaryota; Fungi; Ascomycota; Dothideomycetes; Botryosphaeriales; Botryosphaeriaceae.